GAUGAACGCUAGCGAUAGGCCUAACACAUGCAAGUCGAGGGGCAGCACAUGAGUAGCAAUACGAUGGUGGCGACCGGCGCACGGGUGAGUAACACGUAUGCAACCUACCUUUAACAGGGGAAUAACCCGUUGAAAAACGGACUAAUACUCCAUAACACAGGGGUCCCGCAUGGGAAUAUUUGUUAAAGAUUUAUCGGUUGAAGAUGGGCAUGCGUUCCAUUAGCUUGUUGGUGAGGUAACGGCUCACCAAGGCUACGAUGGAUAGGGGAACUGAGAGGUUUAUCCCCCACACUGGAACUGAGACACGGUCCAGACUCCUACGGGAGGCAGCAGUGAGGAAUAUUGGUCAAUGGAGGCAACUCUGAACCAGCCAAGUCGCGUGAAGGAUGAAGGUCUUAUGGAUUGUAAACUUCUUUUGCAAGGGAAUAAAGUGGGGGACGUGUCCUCCUUUGCAUGUACCUUGCGAAUAAGGAUCGGCUAACUCCGUGCCAGCAGCCGCGGUAAUACGGAGGAUCCGAGCGUUAUCCGGAUUUAUUGGGUUUAAAGGGUGCGCAGGCGGGAUGUUAAGUCGGCGGUGAAAUUUUGCAGCUCAACUGUAAAAGUGCCUUCGAUACUGGCUUUCUUGAGUGUGGAUGAAGUAGGCGGAAUUUGUGGUGUAGCGGUGAAGUGCUUAGAUAUCACGAGGAACUCCGAUUGCGCACGCAGCUUACUAAACCACUACUGACGCUCAUGCACGAACGCGUGGGGAUCAAACA
This 755-nucleotide ribosomal RNA is filed under the name bacterium enrichment culture clone B3-60. RNAcentral describes it as "bacterial SSU rRNA". It matches the Rfam family "Bacterial small subunit ribosomal RNA", at positions 28 to 774 of the family's 1533-position model. The record is from RNAcentral.